This 496-nucleotide ribosomal RNA is filed under the name uncultured bacterium. Its description in RNAcentral is "partial 16S ribosomal RNA". It matches the Rfam family "Bacterial small subunit ribosomal RNA", at positions 29 to 507 of the family's 1533-position model. The record is from RNAcentral.
AUGAACGCUGGCGGCGUGCCUAAUACAUGCAAGUCGAGCGAACAGACGAGGAGCUUGCUCCUUCGACGUUAGCGGCGGACGGGUGAGUAACACGUAGGUAACCUACCUACAAGACUGGGAUAACUUCGGGAAACCGGAGCUAAUACCGGAUAAUAUUUCGAACCGCAUGGUUCGAUAGUGAAAGAUGGCUUUGCUAUCACUUAUAGAUGGACCUGCGCCGUAUUAGCUAGUUGGUAAGGUAACGGCUUACCAAGGCAACGAUACGUAGCCGACCUGAGAGGGUGAUCGGCCACACUGGAACUGAGACACGGUCCAGACUCCUACGGGAGGCAGCAGUAGGGAAUCUUCCGCAAUGGGCGAAAGCCUGACGGAGCAACGCCGCGUGAGUGAUGAAGGUCUUCGGAUCGUAAAACUCUGUUAUUAGGGAAGAACAAACGUGUAAGUAACUGUGCACGUCUUGACGGUACCUAAUCAGAAAGCCACGGCUAACUACGUG